Molecule: ribosomal RNA, 253 nt
Filed under: uncultured bacterium
Lineage: Bacteria
Description: partial 16S ribosomal RNA
Rfam family: Bacterial small subunit ribosomal RNA
Source: RNAcentral
UACAGAGGUCUCAAGCGUUGUUCGGAUUCAUUGGGCGUAAAGGGUGCGUAGGCGGCUCGGUAAGUCGGGUGUGAAAUCUCGGAGCUUAACUCCGAAACUGCAUUCGAUACUGCCGUGCUUGAGGACUGGAGAGGAGACUGGAAUUUACGGUGUAGCGGUGAAAUGCGCAGAUAUCGGGAGGAACACCAAUGGCGAAGGCAGCUUGCUGGGACGGUACUGACGCUGAGACGCGAAAGCGUGGGGAGCAAACAGG